UUUCUCAACAGUACCUUGCUCUACCUUCGUUCCAAACUCUACUACAUUGGGAAGAGAUCUUAAGAAUGUAAGGCAGCAAACUCAUCAUACAUCCUGGAAUAGUUUCGAGAAGGCUGAAAAGAAAGAAAACAAACAGUCAAGCUCAUCGAUACUGCUAGCGCUGCUAAAAUGCUUACCUGAGAAGGAUCAACACAGCUAGACGGCGGCAUUUCUCCAAUGGAUCAGUAACAGAGCCUUGAUGACGGCAUCACUACCUAGCUCCUGAAUUUCCUCCUCAC
This 278-nucleotide long non-coding RNA is filed under the name Selaginella moellendorffii. Its description in RNAcentral is "long non-coding RNA (SMOE_LNC002365)". The record is from RNAcentral. Lineage: Eukaryota; Viridiplantae; Streptophyta; Lycopodiopsida; Selaginellales; Selaginellaceae.